Molecule: long non-coding RNA, 4655 nt
Filed under: Homo sapiens (human)
Lineage: Eukaryota; Metazoa; Chordata; Mammalia; Primates; Hominidae
Description: HSALNT0090444
Source: RNAcentral
CUUUUCUCAGUUCCCACUCCUUGCGUCAGGACUCCCCUCAAAUGAUGAAUUUACAAAGGAACCUGUUAACAGAGUAAUAAACUCGGCCUCCCCACCCAGUGCCUGUCAGCACUCCCACCCAAGACCUCCAGUCUCCACAUGGCUCCUUUUCUCUUUUCCUCUCUUGUCUCUCUAUCACCCAGAGCCCUUUUCAUGUACGGCAAUAUCUCACAUGGGGACAUCCUCAAUUCCCAAAUGACCUCAGGGAAACCUGACAUUUGCCCCUGACACUAAAACUUACCAAAAAUGAAAAAAAAAAAAAAUAGAAUUUCUAUGCACAAGUCUCCUUGAAUUUGGAAGCCAAGGAAAUAUUUUCUGCUAUUGCUACAGAUAGACUGAAGAAAGUUCUACUUGGAAAAACCAGAGCUGUCUGAAGAAUGUAGGGGAGUGAUGGAUAACAAAUUUCCUUUUGGGAGCAGACUUACACUUUAGAGGGGAAGCUUGAACUUCCAUGGGAUGGUUUCUCUUUACCUGUGUGUGACGUCCCUUUGCUCUUCCUUCAUCUUCUGCCAUGAUUGUGAAGCUUCCCCAGCCAUGUGGAACUGUGAGGGCUGAUGUAUAAAAUGCUACUGUAAAACCAAGCUUCCUGAUGGGAAUGGAAAUGAAAGGAUCCAGAACUAAUGGAGACCAGGUAGCAGCACUUGGUCAUCAGAAGCAAGGUUUGUGCCAGAGUCCUGCAUAAUGAAGCCUCUGAAGAAGAAAGGGCAAGAGCAGAAGCAAAUAUGCAAUUUUUCCUAAAACCGCUAUGUGAUAUUGAAAGCAUCAGCUUUGGGGCCCAUGUAAUGGUGUACCAUGGCCAAGGGUAGAAAAUUUUCCUUUACUUCAGCAGGAUCUUGAACUGGGAGAUGAAUCUAACGUAAGAUGCAAAGCAGGAGAGGUCAUAACAGCCAGACUACUCUGACUAGUCUAUAUCUGGAGUUGUUUGGAAGUCCCAGAGGACAGAGGACAUACUGCAUCAUGGAGAAUCCGAUGGGGUGAGGAAGAUUCAACAUCACUAUAACAGAUAUAUGGCCAAAGACAAAAAUUGAGAAAACAGUGGUACAAUAAGGUAAUAAGAGGCCAGCAUUCCCAAGUACAUAUGUGAGAAAAUUGAAGAGUUCAGCUAGUGGCCAGGAGGACUGUUUACAUGACCACAUAUGGAUUUCUUGAAAUACUUGAGAAAUUUAAGAAGAUCAAGUCUCCACAGUUUUUUAGAUGACAGCUGAGCCAGGAAAUACUGCCAUGUUAUAAUUCUCCCGAUCUAGUUUACCCCCAGGUUAAAUUGGCUGGAUUGGAACAAAACUGAUUUCUCAUCAGUGGCUUCAGUGGCUUACCUGUCUUCUAGAGUGGGAAAGCAUAAAGACAGAAUUAAUAACAUGAAUUCUAAAUGGUUUUUCUGUUUCAUUCAACAAAGACUGUGGAUAGGAAUAAUGCCUAGUAUAAACUUAGAUGCUUUUCCAAUGAGAAGAAUCUGGUAUAUUUUCUCUUGUCACUCAUCAUAAAAUAUCUCUGAUGAGUGAAUUAAACAAACUGAAGCAAACUACAGACCCUCUGGUUUUGAGGAAAUGUUAUAAACAGGUUUGAGUUUCAGUCCCAGCUCUGCCACUCUCUCACACAGUGACCUUUCUCAAGUCACAAAACUGCUGUGUCCCUCAGCUUACCAUCUGCAAUGGGAAAAUUAUAACAUUCUAGGAUCUUAAGCGUGCCACUCCAAAGAAAAUUGUGCCUGCAAAGAAAUAUGUUUCCACUUAUUGAAGUGGCUAAAUAGUCAAUCAUCAGAUAAUUUUCUUUGGGAGAAAUCUUCAUAGCCAUCUUUGAAAAACAUCUGGCCUAGAGGACAGUGCCGAUGACUGUUUUAUGGUUUAAUGCUCCAAGCCUCCUUUCUAUUUGUUUUAACUGGCACACUACAGAAACCUCUUUAAUAAUUGCCCAAGUUAUUUUCAUAAAGAGAUUUUUGUGCCUUUCAGACUGCAUAAUUAAAUUUCAUGUGUGCGUAAGUAUGUGAGAUAGAUGAUGGAUGGAUGGAUAGAUGGAUACAUAGAUACAUAGAUAGAUCACAGCUCAGGUUUGAAUUCUGUAACUGUGCUCUCCCCACUUAGUGAUUUAGAAUAAGUCAAGCAUAGACUGAACAUAACCCACAUCUUUUAAAGAUGCUGUGUCCACUAAGCUUGUUCUAAAAUAAGUAAAUAGUUCCUAGGCAUGCUUGAUUGUUUAUUAUUUUAUUAUUUAACAUAAAAGAGAGAACUUAACAUGGAAGUAAUUUUCAGAUUAGUUACCCUGCAGCUGCUGAACCAGGAUAAAAAAAAAAAGCCCCAGGGAAGCCAUUGCCAGUAAUGAUGGCAUUUUUCACACAUUACUUGAAAGUGGAACAAAUAAGGAGUCUGGUGCUUUCCAAACAGAAGAAAAAAAAAAACUUGAAAUAAAAGCAAAAAUUGAAUAGAAGUAGCUGAAUGCUUCUCAUUCUCUGACAAGGUCGUUCAGUGUGGCUCAUGGGAUGAGUCUAUCAGCUAAGUCUCACAAAAAGGAAAUCCCAUUCUUUAUGUAUACCCUUCACUGGAAGCUAAAUGGGAGGAAGAGAAUGUAGUGGAAUGCAUGAGGAAAGAGCAUCUUUAUCCCUAGAAAAGGAACAAUUUUUAGUCUUCAUUUUGGUUAAAGAUUGGCUAUAGAUUUAACUCAGCUAUACUGAAAGAAAUAUUGCAUUUGACGUAGGGUGCCUAAUAAUCUAACCUAUGUGACAUUCACAUUUCCCAAUCAUGUUUGCCAAGAAGAAAUCAAGCUGCAUAGCCCUGAGGGCAAUUAGAGAGGUAAGAGGGACACUGUUUACUGGGCCUCAGAGUCCUGAUUAUAGAUCAUUAUUAUUCAUAUUGAGUAACAGAAUAAACACUGGUACAGGAGUUCAGGAACAUAAGUUCUAGAUGUGUAUCUGCUUGUUGGCUGUGUCUCCCUCAGAGUUGGAUUAGAUAAAAAUUAUGAUCCUUUAUAGUUCUACAUUCUAGAGUUUUUUUUUUUUACAAGGAGCCAUGAAUAUCUUUUGUAAAUAAAUCAUUUUUAAGUCUCUCACUGAAUGAAUAACAUUCAUGCACACUAGAAUGCAGUUGUUCUGAGGGCAACUAAAAUUAGAGUGAUGACCCCACAUUCUGUUUUAGGAGUCUUUGAACUGCUAAAUUAAUGACUGAUGGGCAAUGAAUAUAGGGGUCAUUUUGUUGAAGAGAAGAAAUACUGUUCCACAGUUUUCUUGGGGGAUAACCCUGGGCCCUUGUCUUGAUUUGAAAAGGUACUCAGAAUGCAGAACACAGAAUUUCAGUAGAUUAUGAGAAAGUGAGACAAUAGAAGUAAAGAAUGGAUAAUUAUGUUGGAUUACUUCGCAAUGAGCUACAAAUUAUUUAGUCCCAAGCUGUCCAAUAAGGCGGGUAGUUGUCACUUGGGUAUUAAGCACUUGGCUAGUAUGAGUUGAGAUGAACCAUAAGUGCAAAAUACACAUUGAUUUUGAAGACUUUGUAUAAAAAAACUAUGGAAAAUAUUUCAAUAACAAUAUUAAUUACAUGUUGAAAUGAUUAUAUUUUGGAUAAAAUAUAUUACUAACAUUAAUUUUACUGUUUUCUUUUUACUUUUUAAAAAUGUGCCUUUUCAAAAAUUUAAGAUCACUUCUGUGGCUCACCCUGCAUUUUUACCAGGUGGUGUUGAUUUAGACAUUUGCUGACCUUACAUGGACCCUGAAGGAUUUCUGUUCCCUAUUGCAUAGCCAAGAAACAAGACUGAGAUUGAAGGGUAGGGCUGGAAGUAGAGGGAAGAUAGAAGCAGAUUGGAAGGGAAAAAAACUAAUCGCUGUGCCUGGAGCUAUAUGGGUUCAUGCCAAAAUAUGUACUUGUAUUUGCAUCUAUUUGUUUCUUUGAUUGCAUUGUACAUGAAGGAAAUAUCAGUCUUGUUAUUUUUUGGUUUUGUUAUCCAAGUAUCUUCUCUCCCUUAUUAGGCUUAGUUAUUUUCUAACUAGAGACACUUUGAUUCAUAGAAAUAUGAAAUAUGAAUGUAUCUUCAGCUCUUCUUCCUCCUUAUUUCUAAAGCAGGGAAACCAGGAAAACAUGAGAGAUUCACAGGGGCCACCACCACAAGAGGUCUUUGGUAAUUGAUAUGCUCUAAUGGCGGUAGCAGACUUUGUGGGUUACUAAACACUUUCUAUCCUUUCUCCCUUUCAACAAUACCCCAGUUUUGACCAAGUAUUCAACCUAUUGGAUUUUUUACUUUUUAUUAUUUAUUAUAUAAAUCUAUUCAUAGAAAACAAAAUCUGAAUGACCAAUAAACAUAAGAUGCUUAAUAUCAGUAGUCAGGGUUAUUUAAAUUAAACCAAAGAAAAUGAAACGCAUUUCAAAUUCAUCAAAUUAAAAUUAUUUUAAAUUAUUUCAAGUGUAAAUUAUUUUAUUAAAAUUAUUUUAAAGAAUUUGGAGCCGUAGAUAUUCUCAUAAGCUGCUGGUGGAAGCAUACAUUGGCACAACUGAGAAGGAAAUUUAACAAUAUCUAGUAUAGUUGAUACUAUACGUUUCAACCUAGCAAUUCUUCCUCUGAAUAUUUACCCUAGACACAUGGAGAAGAAUGUUCAUAGCAGCAGUGUUUGCAAUACUCUAAUCAAUAUAAGAAUGUGG